Molecule: ribosomal RNA, 913 nt
Filed under: uncultured bacterium
Lineage: Bacteria
Description: bacterial SSU rRNA
Rfam family: Bacterial small subunit ribosomal RNA
Source: RNAcentral
AAGAGUUGCGUAGGUGGCAUGUUAAGCGGGUAGUGAAAUCGUGUGGCUCAACCAUACAAACAUUAUCUGAACUGGCAAGCUAGAGUGCUAUAGAGGUUACUGGAAUUUCUAGUGUAGGAGUGAAAUCCGUAGAUAUUAGAAGGAACACCGAUGGCGUAGGCAGGUAACUGGAUAGCAACUGACACUGAGGCACGAAAGCGUGGGGAGCAAACGGGAUUAGAUACCCCGGUAGUCCACGCCCUAAACUAUGGAUGCUAGCUGUGAGGAGUAUCGACCCUCUUCGUAGCGAAGCUAACGCGUUAAGCAUCCCGCCUGUGGAGUACGAGCGCAAGCUUAAAACAUAAAGGAAUUGACGGGGACCCGCACAAGCGGUGGAGCGUGUUGUUUAAUUCGAUGGUAAGCGAAGAACCUUACCCAGACUUGACUUCCUUGUCGUCGAUCUUCGAAAGAAGAUUUUCAUUUAGUUGGACAAGUGACAGGUGUUGCAUGGCCGUCGUCAGCCCGUGUCGUGAGAUGUUUGGUUAAGUCCAUCAACGAGCGCAACCCUUGUAUUCAGUUGAAUUUUUCUGAAUAGACUGCCCUGGUAACAGGGAGGAAGGGGGGGAUGAUGUCAGGUCAGUAUUACCCUUACGUCUGGGGCUACAAACACGCUACAAUGGCCGGUACAAAGGGCUGCCAACCCGCGAGGGGGAGCAAAUCCUAUCAAAGCCGGUCUCAGUUCGGAUUGCAGGCUGAAACUCGCCUGCAUGAAGCUGGAAUCGCUAGUAACGGUAAGUCAGCACAUUACCGUGAAUACGUUCCCGGGUCUUGUACACACCGCCCGUCAAACCAUGAAAGUCACCAAUACCUGACGUCUAACUUUUCGUUGGCCUAAGGUAGGGGGGAUGAUUGGGGUUAAGUCGUAACAAGGUAA